GACGAACGCUGGCGGCGUGGAUUAGGCAUGCAAGUCGAACGGUAUCAUCCUUUCGGGGGUGAGAGAGUGGCGAACUGGUGAGUAACACGUAGGUUAUCUACCCUCAAGACGGGGACAACCCAGGGAAACUUGGGCUAAUACCGGAUGUGAGCAACUUUUAGUGUUUGAAAGGUGGCGUAAGCUGUCGCUUGGGGAUGAGCCUGCGUCCUAUUAGUUAGUUGGUGAGGUAACGGCUCACCUAGGCAAUGAUAGGUAGGCGGCCUUAACGGGUGGUCGCCCACACUGGGAUUGAGAUACGGCCCAGACUCCUACGGGAGGCAGCAGUCGAGAAUAGUCUACAAUGGUCGGAAGACUGAUAGUGCGACGCCGCGUGAACGAUGAAUCCCUUCGGGUGUAAAGUUCUUUUAUAUGUGAGCAGUGCUUCUUAUAUUAACAGUAUGGGGAGAGAGAUAUUAGCAUAUGAAUAAGCAACGGCUAACUCCGUGCCAGCAGCCGCGGUAAG
Molecule: ribosomal RNA, 502 nt
Filed under: uncultured bacterium
Lineage: Bacteria
Description: bacterial SSU rRNA
Rfam family: Bacterial small subunit ribosomal RNA
Source: RNAcentral